CCGCCGCGGUAAUACCGGCGGCUCGAGUGGUGGCCACUUUAUUGGGCUUAAAGCGUUCGUAGCUGGGUUAUUAAGUCCCUUGGGAAAUCCGACAGCUUAACUGUCGGGCGUCUAAGAGAUACUGGGUAAUCUUGGAACCGGGAGAGGUGAGGGGGUACUUCGGGGGUAGGAGUGAAAUCCUGUAAUCCUCGAGGGACCACCUGUGGCGAAGGCGCCUCACCAGAACGGCUUCGACAGUGAGGGACGAAAGCUGGGGGAGCAAACCGGAUUAGAUACCCGGGUAGUCCCAGCCGUAAACGAUGUGCGUUAGGUGUAUCGGUGACCACGAGUCACCGAGGUGCCGAAGGGAAACCGUGAAACGUACCGCCUGGGAAGUACGGUCGCAAGGCUGAAACUUAAAGGAAUUGGCGGGGGAGCACCACAACAGGUGGAGCCUGCGGUUUUAAAAUUGGACUCAACGCCGGAAAUCUCACCGGAUAAGACAGCAGAAUGAUUGCCGGGCUGAAGACUCUGCAUGACUAGCUGAGUAGAGGUGCAUGG
This 540-nucleotide ribosomal RNA is filed under the name uncultured archaeon. Its description in RNAcentral is "bacterial SSU rRNA". It matches the Rfam family "Archaeal small subunit ribosomal RNA", at positions 462 to 997 of the family's 1478-position model. The record is from RNAcentral.